CAGAGCUUCUAUUCAAAAGUGAACAAAUUAGAUGAUGGUCAUGGUGGAAUCAAGAUCAGUUGCACAAAUUGGCUGCUGGGACCUUCUCAAGCAGAGUGCUUCCAAGGGAGAGGAAGAAUGGUAACGACCCAUUAAGAAUGUUUGUGAAAAUGAAUGGCAGUCUACUACAUGGCUCAGCGAUGCAGAAGCCCCUCUUUUCCAAUGUCAAGUAAAAUGUUGGGAAUGAGAAUGUUUCAAACAAUUGAAAGGUAAGAUGGCACUCCCUACUAGAUAUCACAACCAUUAUUCGGGAGUGUGGGAAUCAAAUUCAGGGAAAGGAGAUACUUGACACUCACAUUCUCAAAGCCAGGUGCUUCUGUGGCUUCAGUUGCUUAGAUGCAGUUGGGACCUUGGAUAUGUUUUAUUAUUUUCCUGCUCUCAAUAUAGUUGCUUUUCAGAGAAAAACACGUUUUAUAAUUGAUGCAUGUGCAUGUAAAUAAAUGUACAUAUCUAUAAAGAUGUUAGUCAU
Non-coding RNA from Monodelphis domestica (gray short-tailed opossum), 508 nucleotides. NCBI's taxonomy places the organism in Eukaryota, Metazoa, Chordata, Mammalia, Didelphimorphia, Didelphidae. The record is from RefSeq and is a predicted model, not a curated record.